This 89-nucleotide transfer RNA is filed under the name Nitrospiraceae bacterium AH_259_D15_M11_P09. RNAcentral's name for it is "tRNA-Leu". It matches the Rfam family "tRNA". From Rfam's summary of the family: Transfer RNA (tRNA) molecules are approximately 80 nucleotides in length. Their secondary structure includes four short double-helical elements and three loops (D, anti-codon, and T loops). Further hydrogen bonds mediate the characteristic L-shaped molecular structure. tRNAs have two regions of fundamental functional importance: the anti-codon, which is responsible for specific mRNA codon recognition, and the 3' end, to which the tRNAs corresponding amino acid is attached (by aminoacyl-tRNA synthetases). tRNAs cope with the degeneracy of the genetic code in two manners: having more than one tRNA (with a specific anti-codon) for a particular amino acid; and 'wobble' base-pairing, i.e. permitting non-standard base-pairing at the 3rd anti-codon position. Lineage: Bacteria; Pseudomonadati; Nitrospirota; Nitrospiria; Nitrospirales; Nitrospiraceae. The record is from RNAcentral.
GCCGGAGUGGCGGAACAGGCAGACGCAAGGGACUUAAAAUCCCUUGGGCUACAAGGCCCGUCCCGGUUCGAGCCCGGGCUCCGGCACCA